This is a long non-coding RNA of Mus musculus (house mouse), 5061 nucleotides long. RefSeq annotates it as predicted gene, 33610. NCBI's taxonomy places the organism in Eukaryota, Metazoa, Chordata, Mammalia, Rodentia, Muridae. The transcript has 5 exons. The record is from RefSeq and is a predicted model, not a curated record.
UCCUGCUUUAGACAGUUCAAGAGGCAGGCUCCAGAUCCCCUUGGAAUGGAAGUAUAAUUACAGCCUGUGGGAAACCCUGCCUGGACCCAUGGUGAGGGCGGGACCUGAGAAGUCUUUGUUUGCAGCCAGGAGAUGGUCUGGAAGACAACUCUACUAAAGGAGCCGAAGACUGACUCGCACCGGCUGCCACUGCUGCUUCCUGCCUGAGUCUUCUUCAUGAAAUACAGCCGACUCAAGGAGAGCCGCUGUCAGCUGACCCACCCUGACAAGCAGCAACCAAUCAGAAAGCUUUUCCCAGAAAACAGAGCAGCCAACUCAAGUGAGAACACAAGGAAACCAAAGCUGGGUGGGACUUGUGGCCCACGGAUGGAGUGAAUCCACAAAGGACCUGGGGCUUAAGAGGAGAGUGGAAUGGGUUCUUGGAGGAAAGAGUAGAAACUGAAACAAAGUAGCUUACAAGACGGGGUGACACAGGUGAGCAGCUCGGUCCCUUAGAAGUUUCCAGCUGGAAGCUUGCCUUCCAAUAAUGGUACUUCUAUUAUGAAUUACUCCUUAUUUGAGCAAAUGUCUGUCGUAACUGGGGGAGGAAGGCUGUCUUAAUAGAAUAACAGUAUGACUUCCUUGCUGUGUCUGUUGCUAACCCAUGUUGCCAUCGCCAUUCUCACAGAACGAGAAGGAUUGUUUUAUUAAGCGAGUGUCGCAGGGCUAGAGGAGUGUCUGCAGGAAGUCAUUCGCAAGCAGCGCUCUGCGGUUUGAAGGAGAGCCAAGUGCUUUGGAGGAAAAGUUAAGCAAGAUGUUAGGGAUGAGAGUAGAGUUACAGUUUUAUUGGGGAGUGAUCUGGGCAAGUCUCAUUGAGAAGGUAACACUGACCAAAGGCUCAGAGAUGGGGAAGUGAGCCAUGCUGAGGUUUGUCUAUGAAACCAGGCAAAAAUGACUACGUGGUCACCAUUUCUUACCUGCAGGGAGUGAAUUGUAAGACCUGUAGAUGUUCCACAAUUUGGUUUGUACUUAAACCUGUACACAGUCUCCAUUUCACAUGUAUGCACACAUAAAUACAUAAUUCAUACAUACAAGCAUGCGCACAUACAUACAUGCAUACUGAUGAAGUCUAACAUAUAUCAGGAACAGUAAAGAAUCAACAAUAAUCAGUUUUAAAGCAGAACAAUUAAAACAGCAAGUGAUAAUACAGGCUAUUUAAACCUUACUAAUUAUUUCCAGAAUGUUUUUAUUUGGCAUUUAAAAACAUAUCUGAGUGCUAAUAAUCAUAACCUUUGAAAGCAAAAAUAGUGAAUAAGGGGGCAGGGCUACUGUAUCCCCCACUUCUGUAUGAUAGUCAUAAGGAAAGUAAGUAAGUUCCAUGCAUAUGGAACAAGAUGGCCUGCCAGGAUAUUGAUAAAAAACAAACAAACAAAACAAAAACAAAAGUUGCUUAGUAACUAACGACGUUCCUGUUCCCAGUUUUGAACUUGAUGCCCUAACUAACAUGUGUGAGCAAUGUGAGCAUUCCUAGCCUGUGUGUGUGGGGCGGGGCACAGAUGACACGCUUCCUCCUGCUUGGGGAGAUGUUGUUCAACAGGGGUAGGGCAGCCACCAGGAGGACCUCUGGAAAAGCACAAGCCUGCUUGCUCCCUUCCUGAAGGUGAAGGCUAGUGGGACAUUCAGAUGGGGGUGGGGGGGGAGUCUUGGCUGUAUUUUGAAAUGCUCCUCUCACUGGCACAUUCCAGACCUCUCUCCAGUCCCCCUCCCCACUUGAUCAAGGAGAUCUGGCUAGAGUCCCCGUACAUGCUCUUCUGGAGAACAUUCCAUAGCUGGGUCCUGUCAAGAUGCAAAAGGAAGCCGUGAGGUAGAAGCAAACUGAAGCCACUGGGGAAGACAAACCCGGAAGGAAGAAUGGCAGAUGGGGCUUCCAAUGCCCGCGGCUCUCCACCAUGGAAAGGCAGUCAAGUAAAGCGAGCCUGUCUUAACUGCCCCUUGCCAGAAACUUACUAAAGAAAGACACCUGUCACUGAUAAAUCCAGUGGAAGUGGCACCCUCAGUACUUCAGAGCAUACAGGCUCAGGACUACAUAGCACCCCAAGUGCAGUAGAAGGGCGGGUAUGUCACAUCCAAGUAGGCUGCCCCUGUGUUAGCUAGUGUGCUUGGACAGGAUCAAAGCCCUAUGGGGAAGGGAACCAUGGUGAUUCUCUUUGGAGUGAGAGAUGGGUUUUGGAGGAGUGGGUGUGAGAUACAGUUAUAAGGUACUUUCUGGGGUCCCUGAGAAGACAUGCUGCUAGGUCUGUGCAUACAAGAAUGGGGUCUAGUUGGGGAGCUCCUCAUUGUUGAUCCAGUGCAUUUGUUCUGCUGCAUCUACCUCAUGCCAGGGCUAAUUCUAGCCCAUAGGUCUUAGUGCAGAGCCAUAUUCUGGUGUUAAAGGAUUGGUUCAACAGAUUUGAAAUCCUGUCUAUAAGCUUGAGUUAUGACACAUGUGGACAUGAGACACUCACAGGAGGUAAAAAGGCUCAUUGUGGGCUUGUCCAGGAGAUAACAAAGAAUGAGAAAUCCAUGUUUCUCCAAAGAGAGCAAACACCCCAAAGGGAAUCUGGGGGGAAUGUAAAAAAAAAAUCUGGGCCAGCAGAAGGAGAAGAUGGUUUGUUUUUCUCUUUAAAUCACCUGGUUAAUAUUACGCUGAGUAUCUUUUUUUCAUGAAACUUCUUAUCUCGAUUAGAUGGUUUCUGUUCAAGAUUUAUAUGGAAGUCAAGAGUGUGGUCUGACAUGUCGUUGUCAUCAGGAUUUCAAGCAUGAUAUUGCUACUGACUGACUGUGUGCUCUGCUGUGCGUCAACACUGGAGAGGCUCCGUUUUCCUCUCAGGAAAGCUGAUUGGUUCCUCUGUUGUCUUGUAGGGUCAUCUGGAAGAUGAACUGGGGGCUGUUGAAGCAGUUGGCUCUUAGUGAAGCCUGUGAAUGGUCUCUUGCUUGUUGAAGAAAAACAACACAGAAUGGUCUGGUUAUUGCUGUGGCUUAGAUGGACUGUCUCUCAAAGGACAAUAAGCUUGGGCCAUGGAUGGAGGUGCUAUUGAGAGAUGGUAGAACCGUUAGUGCAGUGGUUCUUACCUAUGGGCCUUGACCCCUUUGGCAAAUCUCUGUCUCCAAACAUAUUUACAAUCACGAUUUGUAUCAGCAGCAGAAUUACAGUUAUGAAGUAACAACAAAAAUAAUUCUGUGGUUCGGGGAGUCACCGCAUUAGGAAGGGUCACAGCAUUAGUGAGAUUGAGAACCACUGCUUUAGUGUGUGGGGGCUCAGUGCGAGGAUGUUAGGUCAUUGAGAGGCAAGCCAUCGAAGGGAUUGGGUCCCCUUCUUCCCCUCCUAACCACCAUGAGGGACAGUCUACUAUCCCACAGAGCACAACAAAUAACUCACACUACCACAGGCCCAAAGCCACAGGUCCUAACAAUCAUAAGCGAAACCCUCUGGACUCAUGUGCCCAAAAUAAAACUUCUCUCCUUGUACGGUGAUUGUCUCAGGCAUUUUAUCAUAGCAGCAGAGAGCGGGUGAAAUAGAUAACGAUGGCUGAGAAGUGGGUCAUUGGUGUGGUUGUAUCUGAGAUGACAUGGGCUUGUGGAAGGGAUCCACAAAGGUGCGGAGAAGCAAGCUAGAGAAACUUUGGAUCACAGUAAGUAUGGGUGAAUGAAUGGAUAGUUCUAACAAGGACUCAGAGGAUGCCGGGAGCCAAUUGGACAUCAAAGGCUGUCCUGUGAAGUUUCCAACAGAGGUAAGGAACUACUGGAGACUAUAGGCUGCCUGCUGUGGCAGAGCUUCAGCUGAGUUUUUGCCCAUGCUGCGAUGUAGAGACUCUUACUUUCCCUGUUGGGCUACUGACAUUUCGACUUACAAGGCUUUUUACUCAGCUUCUCUUGUCUGAGAGCCAGAGCCAUAGGAAACGCGGUCUGAAAUGGGCAAUGGAAUAAAAGUAUUCACCACGUUUAUCCUGCAAAGGGUUUGCUUCCCCACUCUGAUGACCUAGAAAAAAAUCUAUUUGCCUUCCUGGCACUUGGAGUGGCUGCUGGUGUGCUUCUGUGUGGUGGCUGUAAGCCAGAGACUGCCCUGUGAGUUUGGAAAGGUCUAAAGGAUGGAUGUCAUGCCAGAAUUGGCCUCCCUGGGCACGCGAGGAGUGGCCGUGGAUACUUCUGGCCUACUGCUUCUUCUCAUCAAAGAGUGACUUUCCCUUUCUCUUGUCAAACAAUCUUCGGUGCUGAGAUCAAGCCCUUAGACUCUUGUAGUAGCAAAUGGCAUAGCUGAGUUCUCCCUUUGGCAAGGCUGAGAACUGUUUGCCUAGAAUGUGUUUGGCUCUGCCACUUCAGUGGGGGGAAUACAUUGCGAAAUCUCGUAAAAAUGCCAUUGACUAGAGUUUCAUUUAUCUUUUCUAUGGCCACUGGGUACCACUUUCUCCAAAGAGCUACAAGGUGAAGAAGCAUCUACAGGACCUGUCUAGCAGGGUCUCAAGGGCUCGGCACAAUGAGCUCUGAGGACCAGAAGCCACCAGCAGCAGCCUAGAGAGAACACUUGAAGACAUCGGGAGCUGUCAGCAUGUCAUCGGCUUGCAUAGACCUGAGGUGACUGGUGUGGCUGACCACCGUGGCAAGGAGGAUCCCUUGAAAUACCAAGCUGAUCCUACAGUGGCUGGCAAGGACUUAUUUUCUGUUGUGUCUGACUUAUUCCUGUUGUGUCCUCAUGAAGAUGAUGUGUUGGGCCCAUGGACCAUGGUUCUGAAGAAGUCCUACCCCACUGUUCCAGGCCUGUAAGAACAACCCCGGACCCUUGUGUAACUCCCUUCCUCUUCCAAUAACUAACUUGCCUGGGCUUGCCUGGAUUUGCCAAGUUCUUCGGCCUAGUCUCUCAAACUGCUGAGUUGAAGCCUGCCAUGGAGUCAGCUUGUCCAAGAGUCAUUUCAUCUCUCUCUCUCUCAACUGCAGUAAAUGGAGUCUCCAUGGGUUGCUGCAAUGAACCCAGGAUCUUUCACCCAAUUCCCCAGCACCCUCCAGUCACACAAGGAGACUGUCUUACGAACACCUGGUGUGGAUGUU